AAGGGAGACCUAAUUCCGGUAGGAGACGAAAAAAAAGGUAGUCCCAACCAAGAAUCAAUCCCAAAAGGUCGGAACGAGGUAUGAGGCUUUCAAACUAGGUUCUGGGUUCAUAAAAGACCUGAAUCAGGAACAAGGGCUAUUAGCUCAGGUGGUUAGAGCGCACCCCUGAUAAGGGUGAAGACCCUGGUUCGAGUCCAGGAUGGCCCACCUGCACAGGUGGCAAAAACAAGAGAAGCUCCGAAUCAGCACCUUAUCUUAUAUACAUAUAUAAGAGAGAAUGCUGGCUCUGAGUAAAGAGUCCAGAGGAACCUUGAAAACUGCAUAGAGCUAGGUGAAAAAGCCAAAAAAGAAGACCGCAA
RNAcentral lists this transfer RNA (359 nucleotides) under uncultured Microcystis sp. RNAcentral describes it as "partial 16S-23S ribosomal RNA intergenic spacer". The stretch from base 134 to 207 matches the Rfam family "tRNA". Lineage: Bacteria; Bacillati; Cyanobacteriota; Cyanophyceae; Chroococcales; Microcystaceae. The record is from RNAcentral.